UGGCGGACGGGUGAGUAAUGUCUGGGAAACUGCCCGAUGGAGGGGGAUAACUACUGGAAACGGUAGCUAAUACCGCAUAACGUCGCAAGACCAAAGAGGGGGACCUUCGGGCCUCUUGCCAUCGGAUGUGCCCAGAUGGGAUUAGCUAGUAGGUGGGGUAACGGCUCACCUAGGCGACGAUCCCUAGCUGGUCUGAGAGGAUGACCAGCCACGCUGGAACUGAGACACGGUCCAG
This 235-nucleotide ribosomal RNA is filed under the name uncultured bacterium. RNAcentral describes it as "partial 16S ribosomal RNA". It matches the Rfam family "Bacterial small subunit ribosomal RNA", at positions 96 to 334 of the family's 1533-position model. The record is from RNAcentral.